Long non-coding RNA from Beta vulgaris subsp. vulgaris (sugar beet), 384 nucleotides. RefSeq lists it as uncharacterized. Lineage: Eukaryota; Viridiplantae; Streptophyta; Magnoliopsida; Caryophyllales; Amaranthaceae. The record is from RefSeq and is a predicted model, not a curated record. The transcript is spliced from 2 exons.
UCUUUCUUCAUUCUGCAGUUUUUUCGAUUAUCACCUCUCCUCCUCUACUCUUUGCCAUAACUCUCCGGUGCUUGAAAACAGAAAAAAUCUUUUCCUCUCUUAGUGUCGUUGAUUCGCCUCCUUCUCAUUUAUGAAACCCUAACAUUAUUCAGAUAUGCUUGGGAUUUGGGAAGGACUUAGGCUGUAUCAUCAAGGUAGAUUGAGAUUCUUUUCAGAUAUGCUUGUCUAGAUAAUAAGCAAUGCAGUAGAUGUUGUGGUUUAGAAUUUUCUUUAUUUAAACUUUUUGGGAAAUAUGUACUACUUGAGUUAACUUUGUCUCAUACACAAUAUCUUUAUUUUGUAUAUACUUAACAUUAAUGAAAGUACAAUAGAUUUUGUAAUUUA